RNAcentral lists this ribosomal RNA (473 nucleotides) under unidentified eubacterium 158R6. Its description in RNAcentral is "partial 16S ribosomal RNA". The record is from RNAcentral.
GGACGCGGGAUUGCCUNACUGUAGGAAACCUUGUUACGACUUCACCCCAGUCAUGAAUCUCACCGUGGUCGGCGCCCCCCUUGGGGNUAGGCGACCGGCUUCUGGUGAAACCCACUCCCAUGGUGUGACGGGCGGCGUGUACAAGACCCGGGAACGUAUUCACCGCGACAUGCUGAUCCGCGAUUACUAGCGAUUCCGACUUCAUGCAGNCGAGUUGNAGACUGNAAUCCGGACUACGACGCGCUUUGUGGGAUUGGCUCCAGGUCACCCCUUGGNAACCCUCUGUACGNGCCAUUGUAUUACGUGUGAAGCCCUACCCAUAAGGGCCAUGAGGACUUGACGUCAUCCCCACCUUCCUCCGGUUUGUCACCGGCAGUCUCAUUAGAGUGCCCAACUGAAUGUAGCAACUAAUGACAAGGGUUGUGCUCGUUGCGGGACUUAACCCANCAUCUCACGACACGAGCUGACGACAG